GAUGAACGCUGGCGGCGUGCCUAAUACAUGCAAGUCGAGCGAACAGACGAGGAGCUUGCUCCUCUGACGUUAGCGGCGGACGGGUGAGUAACACGUGGAUAACCUACCUAUAAGACUGGGAUAACUUCGGGAAACCGGAGCUAAUACCGGAUAAUAUAUUGAACCGCAUGGUUCAAUAGUGAAAGACGGUUUUGCUGUCACUUAUAGAUGGAUCCGCGCCGCAUUAGCUAGUUGGUAAGGUAACGGCUUACCAAGGCAACGAUGCGUAGCCGAUCUGAGAGGGUGAUCGGCCACACUGGAACUGAGACACGGUCCAGACUCCUACGGGAGGCAGCAGUAGGGAAUCUUCCGCAAUGGGCGAAAGCCUGACGGAGCAACGCCGCGUGAGUGAUGAAGGUCUUCGGAUCGUAAAACUCUGUUAUUAGGGAAGAACAAAUGUGUAAGUAACUAUGCACGUCUUGACGGUACCUAAUCAGAAAGCCACGGCUAACUACGU
RNAcentral lists this ribosomal RNA (496 nucleotides) under uncultured bacterium. Its description in RNAcentral is "partial 16S ribosomal RNA". It matches the Rfam family "Bacterial small subunit ribosomal RNA", at positions 28 to 506 of the family's 1533-position model. The record is from RNAcentral.